This 210-nucleotide long non-coding RNA is filed under the name Pan troglodytes (chimpanzee). RNAcentral's name for it is "long non-coding RNA NONPTRT012126". Lineage: Eukaryota; Metazoa; Chordata; Mammalia; Primates; Hominidae. The record is from RNAcentral.
CGCCAUUUGGUUUUCUUCUUCUUCUUCUGGCUUUUUUCCGGAAUCUGUUGCCUUUUGAAACAAUGAAGGACAGAAAGACAAAGUCAGAAUGGGCUUUGCUUCUCCUCUGCCCCUCUCCUCCUUAGCCCCAGAUCUGAGUCAGAGGAGGCCUGUUCUGGCGGGGUUAGUGGGUGAGGGGGAUGGGGAUGCCAUCCCUCUCCCAGUGGCUGU